Molecule: transfer RNA, 487 nt
Filed under: uncultured cyanobacterium
Lineage: Bacteria; Bacillati; Cyanobacteriota
Description: partial contains 16S-23S ribosomal RNA intergenic spacer and 23S ribosomal RNA
Rfam family: tRNA (bases 94-166)
Source: RNAcentral
UUUUCCUGGGCCAUUAGCUCAGGUGGUUAGAGCGCACCCCUGAUAAGGGUGAGGUCCCUGGUUCAGGUCCAGGAUGGCCCAUAUCUCUAUGUUGGGGGUAUAGCUCAGUUGGUAGAGCGCCUGCUUUGCAAGCAGGAUGUCAGCGGUUCGAGUCCGCUUACCUCCACUGAAUACCACCUCUUACAUAUAGUUGAAGUGGGAAAUUGUUUUGAGUCGUGUCCUAUUUUGCUCUGAGCGAAUCUAGCUUCCUAUUUUAUUAAAUAAAUAAGAUGCUGGACUCAUUGAGUCUUUUUUCAUUGUUUUCAGAGAACCUUGACAACUGCAUAGAUUAUUUUUAAAGACAAUAAGCAUCUUUAAUGAUGCAGAUUUAUUAUUUGUGCGAAUGCAUUAAAUAACAAUUCUAUUAAGCUGAUGCUUCAAUUAUUGAAGUUAUUGGUCAAGCUACAAAGGGCUCACGGAGGAUACCUAGGCACACAGAGGCGAUGAA